CCUACGGGGGGCAGCAGUGAGGAAUAUUGGUCAAUGGCCGAGAGGCUGAACCAGCCAAGUCGCGUGAGGGAAGACGGCCCUACGGGUUGUAAACCUCUUUUGUCGGGGAGCAAAGCGAACCACGUGUGGUUCAUUGAGAGUACCCUAAGAAAAAGCAUCGGCUAACCCCGUGCCAGCAGCCGCGGUAAUACGGAGGAUGCGAGGGUUAUCCGGAUUUAUUGGGUUUAAAGGGUGCGCAGGCGGAGGUGCAAGUCAGCGGUCAAAUUGCGGGGCUCAACCCCGGACUGCCGUUGAAACUGCAUCCCUUGAGUGCGCGAGAAGUAUGCGGAAUGCGUGGUGUAGCGGUGAAAUGCAUAGAUAUCACGCAGAACUCCGAUUGCGAAGGCAGCAUACCGGCGCGCAACUGACGCUCAUGCACGAAAGCGUGGGUAUCGAACAGGAUUAGAUACCCGGGUAGUC
This 459-nucleotide ribosomal RNA is filed under the name uncultured bacterium. RNAcentral describes it as "partial 16S ribosomal RNA". It matches the Rfam family "Bacterial small subunit ribosomal RNA", at positions 338 to 795 of the family's 1533-position model. The record is from RNAcentral.